UUUAUUUUGAUAUUAUUUUUUAUUGUUGAAAAAAUUAAUAAUAAUUUAUUGUUAAUAAAAAUUAAAAUUUAUAAUAUUUUUAUUUUUAUUUUUUAGUUUUAAAUAAAAAAAAUAAAAUUUAUAUAUAUAAAAAUUUUGUUAUAAAUUAUAAUAGUUUAUUUAUUUGUUUUUUAUAAUAAAUAAUAGUAUUUUUUUUUAUUAUUUUAUAAAAAAAAAUAAUUUAAUUAUAAUUAUUAAAAGUAAUUUUGUUAUUUAGAAUAAUAUAUUAAUAUAAAUAACAAAAAUAUUAAAUAUUUUUUAAAUUUUUUGGGGAUUUAAGUUAUAAUUUUUUGUGUCUGCUCAGUGAAUUUAAAUAGCACUUUUAGCGUGAUUGGUCAAAGGUA
This 383-nucleotide ribosomal RNA is filed under the name Meloidogyne hapla. RNAcentral describes it as "partial 16S ribosomal RNA". The record is from RNAcentral. Lineage: Eukaryota; Metazoa; Nematoda; Chromadorea; Rhabditida; Meloidogynidae.